UCAUCUAAGAAAUUUAAAAUAGAUUUUAGAUUUUAUGAGAGAAGAGUGAUUUAUUGAAUUUACACUUUAAAUUCUUAUCUUGAGGAUGUCAUCGUACAACUAGUGUUAGUGAGAGUGCACGCUAUGAAUAUAUACAAUCUAGACGGGUGUUGCACUUUACAUAUGGCAUAGAGCAUAACAUCUCAAUCCAUAUUUUCCUAAGUUAAUUUUUACCCCACAUGAAUUUCAAGUAGUGCAUGUUUUAGCAUUGAAAAUUUAUCCAUAUAUAUAUAUGAUUCACGAACGUGUGUUAAUCAAUUAUGACUUUAUUCAUUUUAAAUGAUGAAAGAUAAACUCACAUUUAACAGCGCCACUUUUACAGCGCUUGCUAAACACAAGCGAUGUUGUAAAUAUAUUUUAAAAAUAACGGAGCCUUUUAC
Molecule: long non-coding RNA, 419 nt
Filed under: Cicer arietinum (chickpea)
Lineage: Eukaryota; Viridiplantae; Streptophyta; Magnoliopsida; Fabales; Fabaceae
Description: long non-coding RNA (CARI_LNC003633)
Source: RNAcentral